Molecule: ribosomal RNA, 419 nt
Filed under: uncultured Prevotella sp.
Lineage: Bacteria; Pseudomonadati; Bacteroidota; Bacteroidia; Bacteroidales; Prevotellaceae
Description: bacterial SSU rRNA
Rfam family: Bacterial small subunit ribosomal RNA
Source: RNAcentral
GGAAUAUUGGUCAAUGGGCGCGAGCCUGAACCAGCCAAGUAGCGUGCAGGAUGACGGCCCUAUGGGUUGUAAACUGCUUUUAUGCGGGGAUAAAGUGCGGCACGCCUGCCGUUUUGUAGGUACCGCCUGAAUAAGGACCGGCUAAUUCCGUGCCAGCAGCCGCGGUAAUACGGAAGGUCCGGGCGUUAUCCGGAUUUAUUGGGUUUAAAGGGAGCGCAGGCCGGAGGUCAAGCGUGACGUGAAAUGUACCGGCUCAACCGGUGAGUUGCGGCGCGAACUGGCUUUCUUGAGUGCGUACGAGGAAGGCGGAAUUCGUGGUGUAGCGGUGAAAUGCUUAGAUAUCACGAAGAACUCCGAUUGCGCAGGCAGCCUUCCAGUCCGUUACUGACGCUAAAGCUCGAAGGUGCGGGUAUCGAACA